UGACAUUUGAACAAAGGCUGGAAAAAAGUGAAGGGGUAGCUGUGCAGGUAUGUUGGGAAGAACAUUCAUUUAUUGGCUGAACUACUUAUAAAAGAUAUGCUUCUCUUCAUCUACUAUUUGGUUACCUUGGGGUUUAGAGGGGGCAAUAUAGGGGUAGGGGAGUGGGAGGCACAGACUACUGGGUAUAAGACAGGCUCAAGGCUGUAUUGUACAACACGGGGAAUAUAGCCAACAUUCUGUAAUAACUGUAAAUGGAAGGUACCCUUUUAAAAUUGUAU
This is a non-coding RNA of Vicugna pacos (alpaca), 278 nucleotides long. The record is from RefSeq and is a predicted model, not a curated record. Lineage: Eukaryota; Metazoa; Chordata; Mammalia; Artiodactyla; Camelidae.